AGAACCCUGCACUUCUGAGUUCUAAUCCACUGCCAUCUAUACUUCCAGCUCGCUGCCAUCCGAACCCAAGAACUGUCUGUAAAGGAACAACAAGUUUUCCCCAAUGAUGCUUGACCUUCACAAUUCAUUUCAAUCUUCAUCUUUGAAAUGUCUGAAAAGUGGCUUCUAGGA
RNAcentral lists this long non-coding RNA (171 nucleotides) under Canis lupus familiaris (dog). RNAcentral describes it as "lncRNA (ENSCAFG00040004750.1)". Lineage: Eukaryota; Metazoa; Chordata; Mammalia; Carnivora; Canidae. The record is from RNAcentral.